Molecule: ribosomal RNA, 253 nt
Filed under: uncultured bacterium
Lineage: Bacteria
Description: partial 16S ribosomal RNA
Rfam family: Bacterial small subunit ribosomal RNA
Source: RNAcentral
UACGAAGGUGGCAAGCGUUGUUCGGAUUCACUGGGCGUACAGGGAGCGUAGGCGGUUGGGUAAGCCCUCCGUGAAAUCUCCGGGCCCAACCCGGAAAGUGCAGAGGGGACUGCUCGGCUAGAGGACGGGAGAGGAGCGCGGAAUUCCCGGUGUAGCGGUGAAAUGCGUAGAGAUCGGGAGGAAGGCCGGUGGCGAAGGCGGCGCUCUGGAACGUUUCCGACGCUGAGGCUCGAAAGCGUCGGGAGCAAACAGG